RNAcentral lists this long non-coding RNA (702 nucleotides) under Mustela putorius furo (domestic ferret). RNAcentral's name for it is "lncRNA (ENSMPUG00000026343.1)". The record is from RNAcentral. Lineage: Eukaryota; Metazoa; Chordata; Mammalia; Carnivora; Mustelidae.
GGAUAUGACACUGCCUUUCCAAAUAAGUGUUUACAAAAUCAUACACUGAAAGGGAUCUGGGGCCGGUGUGUAUCCAUCCGGUAAUUCCCACAUCGGGUUCUGUGACAUCAGCGUUUGACUUCCCAGCAAGUCAUUCUUCAUGUCUCAUUUCAACGUUGACGGUUCUUUUGACAUCUGACUUUCCCUGGUUGGAGCAAUUCACUGCUUGUCGGGCCCGAAUCUGGCACCGCUGACCUUGUUCUAAUCCUGGCGUCAGGCUGGUCAUAAACACUGCAGCUCUGGAUCUCCGGGGACCGAUCGGGAAAUUCACUGCAAACUUGCGCCCAUGAGAAACCCUCCGUGCUCUCCAGCACAGAGCGAAAGUCAAUGGCCCUCCAGGAUAUUUAUGGAUUUUAUCUGUUCCUUAAAGAGACAUUCAGAAUUGGACAUGGCUUUCCGGAAAGAUUAACUUAAGAUGCCCCCUGGAGCAACGUCAUUUUCUCUCCCAAGUCUUUGCUUCCAGAUGGUUUCUAAAGAUGAAGCUGAGAAGACAUGUCUCCCAAUCCCUACAGUGCGACCAGGGAAGCAAUGAGCGAGUGCUGAAGAUAUGUGUAAGAAUCUAGGUGCUCUGCUAGUACAAGGAACGCACUUCUGGACUAUCGGGGGCCUUUACUUUGUAUUUUUUUAUUUGCCACAAAGAGGCAAAUAAAAAUUCUGCCCAGC